GUAAUUUCAAAGUCCUCAUAUUAACACGACACGUGACCAAGCUGGCGACACUCAUAAACACCACAACACCGCAACCACACAAACACCGCACAAACUCAGCACAAUCACAACACGAGAUCGCAGACACACGCGAAUACAAAAACGAACACACAAAGGCGCGACCAAACUACACAGAUGAAAACAGCGUCUCCUCCACCGCCUCCGCCGCCUCCCCGAACGCCCAUGACAACCACUCAAUGGGAGGUUGAGCGGUACCAGCGCGAAGAUGAGCAGGAGGAUGAAGCUGGCUUGUGUGUUAUUAGUUGAGCGUGAAUGAAGACAGACUUGGAGUGGGAAACGUAAGAAGGCUUAGGAGGUAUCUAUUACGCAGUAUUAUGAAGGGUGACUUGGAACUUGCUAUCUUGUUGCCACUUGUAGCUGUUUGAUGACGUGACAGAUAGUGAAUGUGACAAAUGGGCAUUAUAUAGGGCAAUAAAACAAGUAUAGCAGCCUUCAA
This 496-nucleotide unclassified non-coding RNA is filed under the name Yarrowia lipolytica. Lineage: Eukaryota; Fungi; Ascomycota; Dipodascomycetes; Dipodascales. The record is from RNAcentral.